This 439-nucleotide ribosomal RNA is filed under the name uncultured bacterium. Its description in RNAcentral is "partial 16S ribosomal RNA". It matches the Rfam family "Bacterial small subunit ribosomal RNA", at positions 339 to 795 of the family's 1533-position model. The record is from RNAcentral.
CUACGGGGGGCUGCAGUGGGGAAUAUUGCACAAUGGAGGAAACUCUGAUGCAGCAACGCCGCGUGGAGGAUGACGCAUUUCGGUGUGUAAACUCCUUUUAUAUGGGAAGAUAAUGACGGUACCAUAUGAAUAAGCACCGGCUAACUCCGUGCCAGCAGCCGCGGUAAUACGGAGGGUGCAAGCGUUACUCGGAAUCACUGGGCGUAAAGCGCGCGCAGGCGGGUUUGUAAGUUGGAUGUGAAAUCCUAUGGCUUAACCAUAGAACUGCAUCCAAAACUACUUACCUAGAGUCUGGGAGGGGAAGAUGGAAUUAGUGGUGUAGGGGUAAAAUCCGUAGAGAUCACUAGAAAUACCAAAAGCGAAGGCGAUCUUCUGGAACAGUACUGACGCUGAGGCGCGAAAGCGUGGGGAGCAAACAGGAUUAGAUACCCCGGUAGUC